Molecule: ribosomal RNA, 253 nt
Filed under: uncultured bacterium
Lineage: Bacteria
Description: partial 16S ribosomal RNA
Rfam family: Bacterial small subunit ribosomal RNA
Source: RNAcentral
UACGUAGGGUGCGAGCGUUAAUCGGAAUUACUGGGCGUAAAGCGUGCGCAGGCGGUUUUGUAAGCCAGAUGUGAAAUCCCCGGGCUUAACCUGGGAAUGGCAUUUGGGACUGCAAGGCUUGAGUGCGGCAGAGGAGACUGGAAUUCCUGGUGUAGCAGUGAAAUGCGCAGAUAUCAGGAGGAACACCGGUGGCGAAGGCGGGUCUCUGGGCCGAUACUGACGCUGAGGAGCGAAAGCGUGGGGAGCGAACAGG